Long non-coding RNA from Molossus molossus (Pallas's mastiff bat), 983 nucleotides. RefSeq lists it as uncharacterized. The record is from RefSeq and is a predicted model, not a curated record. The transcript has 3 exons. NCBI's taxonomy places the organism in Eukaryota, Metazoa, Chordata, Mammalia, Chiroptera, Molossidae.
GUCUCUCCGGACCGCAUGCCAACGCUCCAACCGCUGAGCCAAACAGGCCAGGGCCAGAUGUAUGUUUUAGAUGGAUUACUCUGGCAGCACGACAGUAGAAGAGAUGAUAUUGAUUUAAGGAGUAAAUCUGGUGAUGAGAAUUUAAUGUUUGACUUGCUGUCGAUGAAGGGAGAGGAAGGAGUCUGGACAACCUGUGGGUUUCUGGCUGGGUGACUGGGAGAAUGGUGAGGUGCUGAGACAAGAGAGAUACAGAUCAGGAUGAAUGGAAGCAGGAGAAAAAACUGUUCUGAGUCAGUCUUUCCUGUAAAGCAGCCAAAUGAGUGUAAGAGUUGGAUGUAGACAUGUGAAAAUCACCAACACAGCUGGAAAUUUAAAUAACAAGAACUUCUGAACUUGACCAGAAAAAAAAAGUGAGGUUGAAGAUAGACAGCAGCAUCCUUAAGUAACAGCAAUGAAGACAGAAAAGGAGACCCAGGUUGGAAGCCGAACAACUUCAGCUUCCAUUUUGAAUGUUACCAAAGCUGAUAGAGGAUUUUCUUUUUUAAAAAAAAUUUUAAAUUAAUUAAUUAAUUUUUGUUACAGAUGUUUCUCCUUUUCUCCCCACUGAUUCCCCCCUCCCCCUGAGUAGAGGAUUUUCAAGACAUGUAUCUCCAAUGACAAACAGUAGCUCAGGGAGAAGAGUGGCGGUGAAACAAACAAUACAACAGUUACCCUCUCAGAAAUAGGCCAAGAAUGGGUUUCAUGGAAAGCUCCUACCCUACUGUGAAUACUUGGUGCCAUCAGCAAAAGAGACACGAACUUACUCACAGAAGUAUCUCAAUUGCAAAUCAAGCAUCUGUGGUCUGCAAACCUAAUUUAGGGCUAGUUGAAACCAUCACUUGCUUCGUCUGUCCAAGAGUCUUGAGGUAUGUCUCUUGGACAGCUAAGGAGGGCUGUUACAGUAGCUGUGUCUGUGAUACUUGUUCUGGAGAAUGGACUUCAUC